UAGUCCACGCCGUAAACGAUGUCAACUAGCCGUUGGGGAACUUGAUUCUUUAGUGGCGCAGCUAACGCACUAAGUUGACCGCCUGGGGAGUACGGCCGCAAGGUUAAAACUCAAAUGAAUUGACGGGGGCCUGCACAAGCGGUGGAGCAUGUGGUUUAAUUCGAUGCAACGCGAAGAACCUUACCAGGACUUGACAUCCAGAGAACUUUCUAGAGAUAGAUUGGUGCCUUCGGGAACUCUGUGACAGGUGCUGCAUGGCUGUCGUCAGCUCGUGUCGUGAGAUGUUGGGUUAAGUCCCGUAACGAGCGCAACCCUUGUCCUUAGUUGCCAGCACUAAGUUGGGGACUCUAGGGAGGCUGCCGGUGUUAAACCGGAGGAAGGCGGGGAUGACGUCAAGUCCUCAUGGCCCUUACGGGUAGGGCUACACACGUACUACAAUGGCAGAUACAAACCGUUUGCAAAGCCGCGAGGUUGAGCUAAUCGGUAAAACACUAGUCCCAGUCCGGAUUGGAGUCUGCAACUCGA
RNAcentral lists this ribosomal RNA (525 nucleotides) under uncultured bacterium. RNAcentral's name for it is "bacterial SSU rRNA". It matches the Rfam family "Bacterial small subunit ribosomal RNA", at positions 791 to 1315 of the family's 1533-position model. The record is from RNAcentral.